Molecule: long non-coding RNA, 223 nt
Filed under: Setaria viridis
Lineage: Eukaryota; Viridiplantae; Streptophyta; Magnoliopsida; Poales; Poaceae
Description: long non-coding RNA (SVIR_LNC003482)
Source: RNAcentral
UUGAAAGUCUUCAUCCAUGCCAUACUUUGAUCAAUAGUCAUUUGAGGGCUCUUAACAUAGCUAUCAUCUUGAGCACAUCCAUCUUGAGCUAGUGACUUAGGAUUCUCCCUUGUUCAUGAUAAGAUAUACUUGAAUCCUUAAGUCACUCCAUUUUACCAAUCACACUAGAUUGAAUGCAUUGCAUUGCUUCCCUUGGUAAGGCCUAGAUAUGAUACUUUAAAAC